Molecule: ribosomal RNA, 188 nt
Filed under: uncultured bacterium
Lineage: Bacteria
Description: partial 16S ribosomal RNA
Rfam family: Bacterial small subunit ribosomal RNA
Source: RNAcentral
CCUACGGGAGGAGCAGUGAGGAAUAUUGGUCAAUGGGCGAGAGCCUGAACCAGCCAAGUCGCGUGAAGGAUGAAGGUUCUAUGGAUUGUAAACUUCUUUUGUCCGAGGGUAAAGGAGGCUACGUGUAGCUUUUUGCAAGUAUCGGACGAAUAAGCAUCGGCUAACUCCGUGCCAGCAGCCGCGGUAAU